RNAcentral lists this long non-coding RNA (212 nucleotides) under Lathyrus oleraceus (garden pea). RNAcentral describes it as "Pisum sativum (pea) long non-coding RNA (PSAT_LNC009099)". The record is from RNAcentral. Lineage: Eukaryota; Viridiplantae; Streptophyta; Magnoliopsida; Fabales; Fabaceae.
ACACACAUCCUCCAAGUUCUCUCUCUCAUUUUGAAAUCUAAAGGAAAAGAUGAGAUUGGAAAUAGAGAAAGCUCUCACAUGAGUCAAUCAGUUCCAACGGGAAAUAACAUUACUACUACCUUCUCUUUUCUUCUUUCUACUACAACCUCAUAAACCUUUCUUUUUCACCUAACAAAACCCACAUGCUACAAACUACUCAUUUACCACACUCA